RNAcentral lists this ribosomal RNA (501 nucleotides) under uncultured bacterium. Its description in RNAcentral is "bacterial SSU rRNA". It matches the Rfam family "Bacterial small subunit ribosomal RNA", at positions 16 to 507 of the family's 1533-position model. The record is from RNAcentral.
AUCAUGGCUCAGGAUGAACGCUAGCUACAGGCUUAACACAUGCAAGUCGAGGGGAAACGAUAGAGAAAGCUUGCUUUUUCUAGGCGUCGACCGGCGCACGGGUGAGUAACGCGUAUCCAACCUGCCCAUCACUUGGGGAUAACCUUGCGAAAGUAAGACUAAUACCCAAUGACGUCUCUAGAAGACAUCUGAAAGAGAUUAAAGAUUUAUCGGUGAUGGAUGGGGAUGCGUCUGAUUAGCUUGUUGCGGGUAACGGCCCACCAAGGCGACGAUCAGUAGGGGUUCUGAGAGGAAGGUCCCCCACAUUGGAACUGAGACACGGUCCAACUCCUACGGGAGGCAGCAGUGAGGAAUAUUGGUCAAUGGACGAGAGUCUGAACCAGCCAAGUAGCGUGCAGGAUGACGGCCCUAUGGGUUGUAAACUGCUUUUAUAAGGGAAUAAAGUGAGUCUCGUGAGGCUUUUUGCAUGUACCUUAUGAAUAAGGACCGGCUAAUUCCGUG